UGAAGUUGUAUGGUUUAAAAUGAUAUAUGAUGGAAGUUUCGCUUCUCAAUGAUGCAGUUUCUCAUAUUGUGAUGUCAUAAUGGAAGCUAACCAAUGUUCUUGAAAUGAAAGCCUCUAUUUCCUUUUUCCUUUUGAUUUUAUUACUUCCUAUACUUCAAUAUCUUGCCACAUUAAUGCAUUACUCUAUGCACUCUGCAUUCUCUGUACUCUGUCUCUAAUGAAAAACAAUUGUUCAAAAGGUAUGCUUACAGAUAACACAAUCACUAUAUGCUUAUAAAUUAUUUGUUUAGAAUUUA
Long non-coding RNA from Lathyrus oleraceus (garden pea), 296 nucleotides. RefSeq lists it as uncharacterized. NCBI's taxonomy places the organism in Eukaryota, Viridiplantae, Streptophyta, Magnoliopsida, Fabales, Fabaceae. The record is from RefSeq and is a predicted model, not a curated record. The transcript is spliced from 2 exons.